This is a long non-coding RNA of Hippoglossus stenolepis (Pacific halibut), 1821 nucleotides long. RefSeq lists it as uncharacterized. The transcript is spliced from 3 exons. The record is from RefSeq and is a predicted model, not a curated record. NCBI's taxonomy places the organism in Eukaryota, Metazoa, Chordata, Actinopteri, Pleuronectiformes, Pleuronectidae.
UCCACCAGGCGGCUGCUCUGCUGCGCAACCCGCUUACACGACGCCAAUAAGCCUUCUGGUUGCAGCUAAAGCAAAGCAGCAGCGCGUCACUCAAUCAUACCGCUGCACCUCGACGCGGGCAGGUGCCGUAUGUUCGAGCCCCUCUUGUGCUUCCACACCGAAGCGGCCACACCGUUCUUCCACAUGCACGGCGCGUGAAAGCUCCUCACUGGCCGCUUUCCACGCAGCGCGUCGUCUCAAGGACAAGCGGAGCCGGGAUGAGGCUCCUGCGGGGCGGCGGGGAGGCUGCGGGGCGCGGGCGGGUUUCUGCAGCCGGAUGGGAAUCGAACCCCCGGACAGCAGAGGUGUGAGGCUGCAGCUUCACGGGGAACAACCCGCCUCGACCCGGACUCACGGUGACAUUCACACCGGGAGCUGCUGCUGCUGGAACCUGGAGGCUCGACCGACAUUUUGCUGGAUGUUUGAUUCCCAGCAGCUCGGUGGUGUUUGGUUUGAACCCGUGACGCACACAUGUGAUUAUAAAUAUAUAUAAAGUGUAUAAAUAUGUGCAUCUUACCCGGGUCGUCAUCUUCGCGGUUGCGGUGGGUCCGGGCUGCAGCGCGGGUCGGUGGGUCUCAGGACAGCGGGGACAGGGAGCUGAUGAGCCAGGCAGCAGAUGGGCUUUAUAGGCAGCAGCGCACCUCGCUCUGAUUGGCUGAGCGAGGCGGAAGCGUGCCGACGGUGGAAGGCUCGUGCGCGAGGAUGUGUCGCGUCACUCCUCCUCACGUGGGAGAUUUGACAGAGGUGGGAAAACAUGUGGCGUGCGUGAGAGGCCGACACGCACACUGGUGACUGUGUGUGUGUGUGUGUGUGUGUACGCAAUAUAAACAGACUAAUGGCUUCUACACAGCAAAAUGCAAAGUGUUGUGUUGUCAGUGUUCGACUCCGGAGUUUAAACAUUGAUCAACUCUCAUCAGGUGGAGUUCAACCACAAGGUGGUUACUGCCCUAAAGGAGGAGGGGGGGGGUCAAAGGUCAGAUUCCCAGAUCAACUCUACACUGUUGAUUUCACUUGUGUAGUUUCCUGUGAGAUACGGUGAAAGUCAGAAGUUAGAGUGGCUGAGACUGAAGAAGGCGAUGAAGACUUCAAUACAUCAGAAAGGUUUGGAGCCAGGACCUUCCUGCUUGGUGAACAGAAGAACAUCCAGCGGUUCUAUGUCAUUGUCGACCACAAGGCCCAGACAUCCCUGUCCUUCGAUGAGCUCUUCAGAGCAGACUUCAUCUUCAGUGUUAACUACCAUGAAUCCCUCAACAGCUUCUACACGUUCAUCCAAACCACGGUGUCCAACAGAGACGUGGGAAGAGCCAGGGGAUGUCCCAGAGUCCCAGAGCUCAGAGCAAGGUUCCUGCUCGCUGACAUUUGAAGUGACCCACGUCGUUGGAUUUAAAAAUGCUCAUUUGCUUUAUUUGUAAGGGACACCACAAACGUUAUAGGAAUGUUUGUUUUGAUUAGAACCGAUACAGAAAUUCCUGUUUUUGGAAAGAUCAACAAUAUCAUUAUCAAUGAAGAUCAAGCUUCGUUUUGGACACUUUAUUUUGACGACCACUUUAAUGCAUAUUGUGUCGAGGAGAGAACUGAUCCAUUUCCUGUAAUUUCUUUGGAGGAUUUAAUCUAUUACAGACCUUAUGACAAACAGUUUUCUAAUGAGAUGGAUGAAAACACAUACAUAUUGCCACAUUGUGUGAACUUUGCUUUUGAGGACUGUUAGAAAAAGAUGUAAAGCCAAUGCUGUGUUAUGUUGUGUGCUUACACAAAUACAGUUUCAUGUUAACUGCAAACUUC